AUUGAACGCUGGCGGCAUGCUUUACACAUGCAAGUCGAACGGCAGCGCGGGCUUCGGCCUUGCGGCGAGUGGCGAACGGGUGAGUAAUGCAUCGGAACGUGCCCAGUAGUGGGGGAUAGCGCGGCGAAAGCCGGAUUAAUACCGCAUACGACCUGAGGGUGAAAGCGGGGGACCUAAAGACCUAGCGCUAUUGGAGCGGCCGAUGUCGGAUUAGCUAGUUGGUGGGGUAAAGGCUUACCAAGGCGACGAUCCGUAGCUGGUCUGAGAGGACGACCAGCCACACUGGGACUGAGACACGGCCCAGACUCCUACGGGAGGCAGCAGUGGGGAAUUUUGGACAAUGGGGGCAACCCUGAUCCAGCCAUGCCGCGUGCGGGAAGAAGGCCUUCGGGUUGUAAACCGCUUUUGUUCGGGAAGAAAUCCUGUGGGCUAAUACCCCGGGGGGAUGACGUUACCGGAAGAAUAAGCACCGGCUAACUACGUG
Molecule: ribosomal RNA, 484 nt
Filed under: uncultured bacterium
Lineage: Bacteria
Description: partial 16S ribosomal RNA
Rfam family: Bacterial small subunit ribosomal RNA
Source: RNAcentral